UACGUAGGGGGCAAGCGUUAUCCGGAUUUACUGGAUGUAAAGGGGGCGCAGACGGCGAUGCAAGCCAGGAGUGAAAGCCCGGGGCCCAACCCCGGGACUGCUCUUGGAACUGCGUGGCUGGAGUGCAGGAGGGGCAGGCGGAAUUCCUGGUGUAGCGGUGAAAUGCGUAGAUAUCAGGAGGAACACCGGUGGCGAAGGCGGCCUGCCGGACUGCAACUGACGUUGAGGCCCGAAAGCGUGGGGAGCAAGCAGG
Molecule: ribosomal RNA, 253 nt
Filed under: uncultured bacterium
Lineage: Bacteria
Description: partial 16S ribosomal RNA
Rfam family: Bacterial small subunit ribosomal RNA
Source: RNAcentral